UACGGGGGGAGCAAGCGUUGUUCGGAUUUACUGGGCGUAAAGGGCGCGUAGGCGGUCGUGACAAGUCACUUGUGAAAUCUCCGGGCUUAGCUCGGAACGGUCAAGUGAUACUGUCGGACUAGAGUACAGAAGGGGCAACUGGAAUUCUCGGUGUAGCGGUGAAAUGCGUAGAUAUCGAGAGGAACACCUGCGGCGAAGGCGGGUUGCUGGGCUGAUACUGACGUGAGGCGCGAAAGCCAGGGGAGCGAACGGG
Molecule: ribosomal RNA, 253 nt
Filed under: uncultured bacterium
Lineage: Bacteria
Description: partial 16S ribosomal RNA
Rfam family: Bacterial small subunit ribosomal RNA
Source: RNAcentral